This is a long non-coding RNA of Gasterosteus aculeatus aculeatus (three-spined stickleback), 2138 nucleotides long. RefSeq lists it as uncharacterized. NCBI's taxonomy places the organism in Eukaryota, Metazoa, Chordata, Actinopteri, Perciformes, Gasterosteidae. The record is from RefSeq and is a predicted model, not a curated record.
CGUUUGAUGCAGCAAUUCAUAUUUUGUGUAACAUGAUUCUGUGAAACCACGAGUAUCUUUUGUAACUCUUCUAAAAUCCGCCACAGCAUUGAAUGGCCUCCGAACACUCGUAUCGUUCCCUCCGAUCGGUGACAGCUUGGCUCUAUUCCUCUUGGGUCGGUGCCAGACUCCAGAAGUCCGGAGGCGAGCAGGUGCAGCCAGCAUUCUGCCGGCUAUUCUAGGGCCACUAACAAGGCUAUUUAGUUACUAGUUGAAAAGGCAAAAAAAGAAUCAGAAUACAGAUUUUAAAAACAGCCUUUGAACAGGUGUAGUUGAAACGCAGAGGCUCUUUAAAGCUAAGAGUAGACCUGUUAAUCCUCCUCCCCUCCACUGUGGCCUCUGAGCUCGGCCCUGAACCCUCGCAGAUCGAGGAAAGCUGCGAGGAGCUAAUGACAUUUCCAGAGUAAGAGGAUAUGACAAAGAAAAGGGUUAGCCGCAAAUGUCUCCAGGCAGCCCUCUCCUAAGCCUACAGUUGCAGAUACAUUUUGACUGACGAUUCAAUAAAUGCUCAACACCUUCAUACGUCACCCGAAGAACGGCUUGUAUGAAUAUGUCAAUCAGAAUUUAAAAGGAAGGAGGCGAUGGGCAGGUUGUUCUCCUGGCAGGCCUGUCCGGGGUGCCAGUUGGAUUUGCAGGCCGAGCAGAACUCGAGGGCACAUACGGCGCACUGGACCAGCUGGGGCAGCGCGGGAGGAUCCACUUCCUUUAGUUGGCACACGGCCUGGCAGGUCGAGGAAGGGCACCACGUCCGGCACGGGUCCAGCAGCACCUCUAGUGGAACAGAACAAAGUACCGGUGUCACGGACAGAAGCCGCCCCUAAAAAGGAUUAAAAUCACUAAGAAAGGUUUUUAUCGAGACGCCUUUUCUGCUUCUUCUUCCACGCUGAAUCCUGGUACCUGCUUAUGUUAGAAAUUUGCUUCUUUACUUUUUGGCCGGCUGCAUCUAUGACGGACUUUUACAAACUCUUUUGAAUACGCGUGAACGAGACCUGCGUUAUGUGUUUCGCCCGUUUUAAUUUCGUGGUGCGAUGCUCUCGUAUCCUCUGCUUCCUUCCCCUAUGCUUCUCUGCCAAGGUCUCCCGAGCACAAAUUCCACAUGCACUCUUGGCCCAGUCUGUGAAAAAUGGAACGGUUUCAGCAACUGUUCUGCCUGGCUGGACUGGGACAUUGAUGAGACGGCUGACUGCCCUUAUCCAGGCAGGCAGCAUCACCAACCGUUUCUGCGGUUUGUAUUCAAUUACAGGACCCCUGCUCUGUGUUCAUGCAACUAUUUUGUUUUUCAGGGGAGAUCUGCUAGUGCACGUGUGUAGGUGGGAGAACCUGCAGAGCGACCAUCAUCAAAUAGCGAUAGCGCGGCUUGGUUGCGGCUUUCUCCGGUAGAGCGGAUGCUCUAAUAUUACUGAUUAGCGUGUCUUCGUUGACGGCAUGGAGCAACGCGGACAGGGUGUCUUUCCAGCAAUGACAUUGAAGCCUUUUACCAUUCGGGUUUAACAUUUAUUCUACAAACGAUGUUAACGGGAGACAUUGCAUACAUAGCUGCACACUCAAGCGGAGGUAAAAAGGAUACCUUGCUAUGCAAAGACACCUGCCCGCAUCAGAGAGUGUAGAGCCGAACCAAUCCAAUUAGAAUUUCUUCAAACAAAGUCUGGCAGUCUUUUCCUUUUAUGCAUUUUAGAGGGAAGCAAAAGUUACCCUUUAAUAAGAAUGACAGGGUUGAGUCAGAAAACUACAGUACAAAUGAGACAAAAGGCCCGAGUAUCACAACAUGCCUGUAUGAGCAUUUGUGGUUAAUGAAUGGUUCCAUCAUUUUUUGCUGUCAGAUGGGAAAAAUUGAGACUUUAUUCUAAAGCUGCGGCCUGCUGAUCGGUGCUAAAAUUGGCAAGAUUGAAGUCUACUGCAAAAACAAGCGUCGCUAGACCUUUUCUUCCGAGUUUCCCCACAGAACCCCGAUCUCACAAUUCCAGAGCAAAAAUGUUCACGGGGAGAGAACGAUGGAUUCAGGAGAGAGUGAGCAGCGGUUCGGCUACAUGACGGGAUUGUCGUCAGCCCUUUUAUGUGUCACAAUAAAAACUCCCCGGAGAACCGGAGAGUCCACGUGA